AUUGAACGCUGGCGGCAGGCCUAACACAUGCAAGUCGAAUGGUAACAGGAAAUAGCUUGCUGUUUCGCUGGCGAGUGGCGGACGGGAGAGAUAUGUCUGGGCAACUGCCUGAGGGAGGGGGCUAACUACUGGAAACGGUAGCUAAUACCGCAUAACGUCGCAAGACCAAAGAGCGGGACCUUCGGCCCUCUUGCCAUCAGAUGUGCCCAGGUGGGAUUAGCUAGUAGGUGGGGUAACGGCUCACCUAGGCGACGAUCCCUAGCUGGUCUGAGAGGAUGACCAGCCACACUGGGACUGAGACACGGUCCAGACUCCUACGGGAAGCAGCAGUGGGGAAUAUUGCACAAUGGGCGCAAGCCUGAUGCAGCCAUGCCGCGUGUAUGAAGAAGGCCUUCGGGUUGUAAAGUGCUUUCAGCGGGGAGGAAGGGAGUAAAGUUAAUACCGUGGGUCAAUGACGUUACCGGCAGAAGAAGCACCGGCUAACUCCGUG
RNAcentral lists this ribosomal RNA (490 nucleotides) under uncultured bacterium. RNAcentral describes it as "partial 16S ribosomal RNA". It matches the Rfam family "Bacterial small subunit ribosomal RNA", at positions 30 to 507 of the family's 1533-position model. The record is from RNAcentral.